Molecule: ribosomal RNA, 253 nt
Filed under: uncultured bacterium
Lineage: Bacteria
Description: partial 16S ribosomal RNA
Rfam family: Bacterial small subunit ribosomal RNA
Source: RNAcentral
UACGUAGGUGGCAAGCGUUGUCCGGAUUUACUGGGCGUAAAGAGCGCGCAGGCGGUCGUUCAAGUCGCGUGUGAAAGCCCCCGGCUCAACUGGGGAGGGUCACGCGAUACUGAUCGACUCGAAGACAGGAGAGGGAAGUGGAAUUCCCGGUGUAGUGGUGAAACGCGUAGAUAUCGGGAGGAACACCAGUGGCGAAGGCGACUUCCUGGCCUGUUCUUGACGCUGAGGCGCGAAAGCUAGGGGAGCAAACGGG